CCUACGGGGGGCUGCAGUGAGGAAUAUUGGUCAAUGGGCUUACGCCUGAACCAGCCAAGUCGCGUGAGGGAAGACUGCCCUAUGGGUUGUAAACCUCUUUUGUCAGGGAGCAACGCCGGCUACGUGUAGCCGGACUGAGAGUACCUGAAGAAAAAGCAUCGGCUAACUACGUGCCAGCAGCCGCGGUAAUACGUAGGGAGCGAGCGUUAUCCGGAAUUAUUGGGCGUAAAGGGUGGGUAGAUGGAAUAGUAAGUCUUUGGUAAAAAUGCUGGGCUAAACCCAGUAGGGCAAAAGAUACUGCAAAGCUAGAGUAUGACAGAGGCAAGUGGAAUUAGAUGUGUAGCGGUAAAAUGCGUAAAUAUAAGUAAGAACACCAGUGGCGAAGGCGGCUUGCUGGGUCGAUACUGACAUUGAGGCACGAAAGCGUGGGGAGCAAACAGGAUUAGAUACCCCUGUAGUC
This 460-nucleotide ribosomal RNA is filed under the name uncultured bacterium. Its description in RNAcentral is "partial 16S ribosomal RNA". It matches the Rfam family "Bacterial small subunit ribosomal RNA", at positions 338 to 795 of the family's 1533-position model. The record is from RNAcentral.